GCGGAGACAAGUUCAAAAAAGUGUAUAAUAUCAUAAUAUCUCCAAUUUUAUUAUAUUGAUCGACACGUUGAGAGGAUUUGUGAGGGAAAAUAAACCCCAAUGAAGAGAAUGUCACGAGAAGGCACGACCUGUUGAACCUCCGUCAUCAUUUAAACGCUUUAUUAGGUGUUUUUUUUUUUUUUUUUUUUUUUUCGUCGAGUUUGCGAUCUGACUGCAGUCCGGUCGGUCUCGAGAGGGAGGCGCGAGACGGGCGCUAGUUGAGUUGAGUCGAGUUGAAGCGUCGAGGCGAGGCGAGGCGGGGGCGGGGAGCGCGCGGUGCGCUCUCGCGCCAAUGAGGGCAUCCCGGGCUUGGCAGGAACGCGUCCACGUGACCGUGGAGAGCACCGACACACGCCGGCGGGGCUCCUUCUCAAACACACCGCCGACAGGAGGAGAAGCGCGAAGGGGAGCGAGCGACAGAGAAGACGUCCACGGUGACACACACUCGUCCACACACCUCCUCGACGUGCAGAAGAUGGACGGCUACACGCGCACCGAAGACGAGCUCUUCCCCUCAUGCCUGCUCACCUCCACCUGGGAGAACCCCCACCACGAGCAGCUUUGUUUCUCGACCACGUCCACGCGGAUCUUCGUUUCAACUCUGAUUGCCGUUCAACCGACUCUUCGUCUCCUGACCUUACCCAUGGAUUCCCGCUCUGACCCCGACCGCCGAUCACCCGACCCUCUGCCUGUCCCCAAUACCGAGAACUUGCAUGAUCCUCUGACUCUAGACGAACGACUCCGCACUUGGGUCUUUCUGUCCCGGUGACCUGACUUGACAGGUUUCUUCAUACUAGCUGGAUAACUGUGUUUUUUAUGAUUAUUAUUUACUGUUUUUUAUUUGAGACUUUUGUCCAAUGUGCCU
Molecule: long non-coding RNA, 904 nt
Filed under: Scleropages formosus (Asian bonytongue)
Lineage: Eukaryota; Metazoa; Chordata; Actinopteri; Osteoglossiformes; Osteoglossidae
Description: lncRNA (ENSSFOG00015026148.1)
Source: RNAcentral